This 497-nucleotide ribosomal RNA is filed under the name uncultured bacterium. RNAcentral describes it as "partial 16S ribosomal RNA". It matches the Rfam family "Bacterial small subunit ribosomal RNA", at positions 28 to 507 of the family's 1533-position model. The record is from RNAcentral.
GAUGAACGCUGGCGGCGUGCCUAAUACAUGCAAGUCGAGCGAACGGACGAGAAGCUUGCUUCUCUGAUGUUAGCGGCGGACGGGUGAGUAACGCGUGGAUAACCUACCUAUAAGACUGGGAUAACUUCGGGAAACCGUAGCUAAUACCGGAUAAUAUUUUGAACCGCAUGGUUCAAAAGUGAAAGACGGUCUUGCUGUCACUUAUAGAUGGAUCCGCGCUGCAUUAGCUAGUUGGUAAGGUAACGGCUUACCAAGGCAACGAUGCAUAGCCGACCUGAGAGGGUGAUCGGCCACACUGGAACUGAGACACGGUCCAGACUCCUACGGGAGGCAGCAGUAGGGAAUCUUCCGCAAUGGGCGAAAGCCUGACGGAGCAACGCCGCGUGAGUGAUGAAGGUCUUCGGAUCGUAAAACUCUGUUAUUAGGGAAGAACAUAUGUGUAAGUAACUGUGCACAUCUUGACGGUACCUAAUCAGAAAGCCACGGCUAACUACGUG